Molecule: long non-coding RNA, 1792 nt
Filed under: Lathyrus oleraceus (garden pea)
Lineage: Eukaryota; Viridiplantae; Streptophyta; Magnoliopsida; Fabales; Fabaceae
Description: Pisum sativum (pea) long non-coding RNA (PSAT_LNC029110)
Source: RNAcentral
AUAGUUGGUUUACCAUGAUGGUUUUGCUUGAAUGUUUGAAUGUUGGAUGUUUGGGUUGCUGAUUUUUUUUGAAAACAAUGUGUUUUGCUUGACUUUCGUGCUAACUUUCUCCAUGAUUAAUCCAUCCUUUUGAGAUUUUUGUUGACAUGGUUGUGUUCUACUCUAUGAGAUCUGCAUUUUUGCUUUUGAUUUCAUUUAAUUUCAUGGAUUGUGGAUAAAGUUAUGCAUGUGUGAAGUUGUUGUAUAGGAUUGCAUGGGAUUAGGGUUUAAUUUGUGUUUAAGUUUUGAACCAAGGUUUAAGAUGAUAUGUGGAGUGUUUUGAUUGGCUGGCUUUUAUUUUUGUCGUUUCUGACUUAAGUGGGUGUGACCGAUUGAUGUCGAGUUACAUGUUUUUGUGUUUUAUUUAAAAUGUCACGCCCUUUUUAAUUACGAUUAAUUGGUUUGGAUCUUGGGCCUUGCACUUUUGGUUUUCCCACCCCCAUUCUUUUGGCCCAUGCACGUGUUUCACUUGGUUUCAAUUCAUUUCUCUUUUACUCAUGCACCCCCAUUAUUCCUUUAACCUUAUUUUAUUUCUUUUGUUUUAUCUUGAUAUUCUGAUUUUAUUUUAAUAUUUCCAAUGCUCCAAAAUAUCUACAAAACUACAUGAUUAUAUUUUAGCAUGUUAUUUAAUUUUUUAUAUUUUUUAUUUUAUUUUUCUAAUUGUUUUAAUAUUUUAUUUUAAUUAUAUCAUAACAUGUGUUUAGCUUGACCUAAUUUUCGAUUUAGGGUUUGAUUCUUGAUGCUUCCUUUUGACUUUUAAUCCCAAAUUUUGUACACACUUAGGCACAUGUAUGUAGGACAUUUGGGUAUUAUUUUGAUUAUUUAAUCUUUCAUUUUGGGUCAUUUUUUAGUCUAAUAUUGAUGCUUAACUUGUAUGAUUAAUGAUGGAUUGUAAUGCUUGAUGAUUGAUGCCAUGUUGAACUUGUUCUUGAGACAAUCUUUUGGGAAUUUUUAGACACCUAUUUGCUUAGGGUUUAAGUGUGUAUUUGAGUACUUUUGAUGUCAAAUUGAUGCAUGUCUAUUUAGUUUUUAUGAGCCUUGAUUUCAUGCUUAUUUGUUGAGAUACUUGUGGAUAAUUGUUGAUUGCUUGAGUGACUUCUUGACCACGCUCUUAGACACAUGUUAGGACACUUAUGAGUUGCUGAAUUCUUGAUGCUUUGUUAAUUUUCCCCUUAUUUUUGGAGCCUCCUAAAUAUUUAUUUUGAGUGAUACAAUGCAUGUCUAUUUGAUUUCCUUUUGUUUGCUUUGGUUGUUUGUUUAGGGAAUGCACUUGUGCAACCAUUUAGGGUUUGUUGUCCUCUCUUGUUCUUGAUUGAGAUACCAUGAGGUAGAGCCCAUUUAGUCAUUUGUAUAGGUCAUUUCAUUCCAUUUGUUUGUGAUUAAAAUUGAGUUUUGAUCAUGAUGUUUGUUUUCCCACUUUGUGAUCUUUCCUUAAGCAUACUCUGAGCCAUGAAUUCUCAAUGUUUGGUUGGCUUACAUGAUUAAUAUAGCAUACCAUUUUCCUAUGACUUGUGGUUUUUGAUACCUAAUUUCCAUGUUUCAUUCUCACUUUUUCUUAACAUGAUGUUUGUUUCCAUUUAGAGGCAUGUUUAGGUUCCACCAUGUUCACCUUUUACUUCCCUCUUUGAGUGUGGUUUGAUAUGAAACUUUGGUGAUGAUUUUAGGUAUUCAAUAUGUGAUUAUGCCAUGUAUAAACCAUUUACUUCCCUUGUUUGAUUGCCUAAUUUUUUUCCUUGUGCCCAUCCUUUUUUGU